GGUCACCAGUUCAUUGUUAAAGGUAAACCUAUGUCAUUUUCUGGGACUAUUGUGUUGGUUUCUGGAGACAAUCUUGGAUCACAACUCAUGGGUGGAUUCAAAGAAGGUCCAGGUGCACAUUUGAAAUGCCGGCAAUGCAUGGCGACCACUGAACAAAUAAAGCAGAAGGUAUUUUUUAGAAAAACAUUUUACACUUCGAACUCAUGCUGGUCAUGACCACCAAUGUGAACUGAUUGAAGAAAACCCAGAACUGAGUAAAGCAUAUGGUCUUUGCAGGAGAUCAAUUCUUUGCAACUCUAGGUAUUUUCAUGUAGCAGAUGGCAUGCCAGGUGAUGCAAUGCAUGAUAUACUAGAAGGAGUACUUCAGUAUAUAUGUAAAGAAUUGCUGAAGGACUUAAAGAAAAAUUUUUAACAGUGGAGCAACUUAAUGAAAGAAUUAACUCUUUUGAUUAUGGAUAUUUUAAUGAUAAAAGCAAGCCAUCACCAAUCACCCGGACAACUUUGAGGAGUGAAAACAAUAGUUUAAAGCAAAAAGCAAGACAAAUGUGGUGCCUUGUAAAAUUGCUUCAUUUAGCUCUCGGCAGUGCCAUUCC
This is a long non-coding RNA of Xenia sp. Carnegie-2017, 593 nucleotides long. RefSeq lists it as uncharacterized. NCBI's taxonomy places the organism in Eukaryota, Metazoa, Cnidaria, Anthozoa, Malacalcyonacea, Xeniidae. The record is from RefSeq and is a predicted model, not a curated record. The transcript has 3 exons.